RNAcentral lists this long non-coding RNA (2290 nucleotides) under Sus scrofa (pig). RNAcentral's name for it is "lncRNA (ENSSSCG00045002846.1)". The record is from RNAcentral. Lineage: Eukaryota; Metazoa; Chordata; Mammalia; Artiodactyla; Suidae.
UAGGUGCGUUCCUGGGAGAGACCUCGAGUCCACAUGGAAACAGUAGGAUCGGGCUUCCGUGUGUCCAAGGGACUUCCCCAUGAGGCCACCGAGUCCCUGGUGUGCCUAGAAAGUCACCAUUACACAUCACCCCUCACCCUUCCCGAAGGACAGUAAGGAAGCAAGAGCCUGCGAAUGGACAACCCCAUGGAGGAGGGGGCAAGGAAGGCACAGAAGCUCACAGAGAGGACAGGGAGAUGGCCUGAGAGUGAGAGAAUCUGGUACAGUCACCAUGGGGAAGCAGGUGACAGGAGAGGGGUCAGGGAGAAGCCCAAGUGAGGAGCCUCAGGCAACAGAAGGGGGUCCAAACCAAUAACGUCAAAUGGGUUUCCAUUUUUUGCCUAAUACAUUUCAGGAGUCGACUCCAAUGUUUGCUUCCACUUCCUACCCCAAAGGAAGAAGACGGCAGAGGAUAGCGGGUCCAAGGGUUUGGAAUUUAGAAAUGAUCAAUUUCCAAGUUUGGGAAAAAUCCACUAAAAAUGAGCACACAUACACUGUUUUCAUUCCAUUCCUGGCAGAGCCAACAUAUGGUCCAAAAGAGAGCUGAGUAACAGGAGGCAAAGGGAAAUUAGAGAUGAGAUCAUUUAGACAACAUCUUCAUUUUACAGAUGAGAAAACUGAGGCCUGGAGAGGGGCUCGACGUCACCAUCAAAUAACUGCAGAACCCAUGGGACUAGAACUCUGGCCCUUAACUCCCAGUCCAUGCGUCUGCUUCCCUUCUACCCGGCCUGCUAGGCUUCCUUCCACCCCAGCUGCCAUGACCGUAGUGGAGUAAAAGUUUGCCUUGGAGCGCCCUCCUCUGGCUCUGGGCAGCCACUGGCAUAGCUACAAUGUCGGCCUGGUUCUUAAACUGGAGCAGGUAACAGAAUCACCUGCCUACGGUUAAAACGUGGAUUGCUGGGCCCACCCUAGAAGUUUCUGAUUCAGUAGGUGUGGGGUGGGGCCCAGUACUUUGCAAGUCUAACAAGUUCCCAGGUGGUGGUGCCGAUCUGCUGAUUCAAAGACCCACUAUCGAGAAUCUCUGAUGUAGGCAGCGAUCUCAUGGCUCUUCCAGCAAGAUCACCUGGGUUCAAGCCCCAGCUUUGCCAUGCAUGUACUGAAACCCUGAACACAGUGUUGCGUCAUCUCUUGGCAUCUCAGCCUCUCAUCUUAUGAUGGUAACUGUAAUAACCACCCGUAAGGUGAAGGUAUAAAAUAAAUAAAUCAGAUAGCUCAGUGGGUCUGGGAAGAAGAGCAGAAGAGGGGUUGGCAAGGGAGGCCCAGGCAAGAUUCUGCAGAAUCCUGGAUGCCAGGCUGAGUUUGGACCUGAUCAUGUGUCCUUGGAAGACACGUACCUCCUCCCUGGAGGAGUCCUUGGAAAAAGCCCUAAUGAAUCCCCCAGAUGAAGAUUUAUGAGCCAAGGGCCUUCACCCCCCUCCUCAGCUCCCCCGCCCCCUCCCUGUGCCUGCCAGGAAGUCAAGCCCAGAAACUCCCAUUCUGGGCAGGGGGCCCUUGGGAAACUGGAAGGCCUGAGGAGCAACUGGGGCAGCCGCUUCCUCUUACCUUCAUCAGAGAGGUGCCGCUUUCCCAAAGGUGUCCUCCUUCCGUCUCCCGUUGGGUGUGGCAUCCUCGAGAGAACAAAAGAGUGUUAUCACAAGCUGAGAAGUUUGGGGAGGGGCGGAGGGAGGUGCAGGAGCCUGCGGAGGUGGGAGAACCAGCGCUGCGCUCAGGCAGGCAGUGCUGAUGGAAUCCGGAAUCUGGAAAGAGGCCUGGGGAGACCUACCCCUGGGGAGCCAGCCCCUGGCCUCACAGCUCCCGCUGCGGCAGGGAGGGUUUGGGAGCUGGAAGGGGCCCGUGAGGCUGUCUGCCCCAGGUGCCUCCACUAAAGGUGAAAUAACAAAACUCAGCAGUCAGGCAAACUGUCCGCAAUUGCCUGGCUGACACCUGCCCCUCUCUCCCCAUGUCUGACCCCAAGAGGCACAGUCCCGGCCUUGGGGAAACUGGUGGCCUCUGUAUCCACCGACCAACCUCCCUUGUCCUGAGUCUCUCCCAUGGUCCCCCCACCAGCCAAGUCCCUGCUCUUCUUUCAGACUCAGGAUUUUGUUUCCAAAAAGGUGGAUACAAAAAUGUGUAGAGGAGUUCCCGUCAUGGCUCAGUGGUUAAGGAAUCCAACUAGGAACCAUGAGGUUGCAGGUUCGAUCCCUGGCCUUGCUCAGUGGGUUACGAAUCUGGCAGUGCUGUGGCUAUGGUGUAGGCUAGCGGCUACAGCUCC